UUGCUCUUCAACGAGGAAUCCCUAGUAAGCGCAAGUCAUCAGCUUGCGUUGAUUACGUCCCUGCCCUUUGUACACACCGCCCGUCGCUACUACCGAUUGAAUGGCUCAGUGAGGCGUCCGGACUGGCCCAGGGAGGUGGGCAACUACCACCCAGGGCCGGAAAGCUCUCCAAACUCGGUCAUUUAGAGGAAGUAAAAGUCGUAACAAGGUCUCCGUUGGUGAACCAGCGGAGGGAUCAUUA
RNAcentral lists this non-coding RNA (241 nucleotides) under Rhizophagus irregularis DAOM 197198w. Its description in RNAcentral is "Eukaryotic small subunit ribosomal RNA". It matches the Rfam family "Eukaryotic small subunit ribosomal RNA", at positions 1593 to 1831 of the family's 1831-position model. Lineage: Eukaryota; Fungi; Glomeromycota; Glomeromycetes; Glomerales; Glomeraceae. The record is from Rfam by way of RNAcentral.